AACCCAUGGUGAGGGCACCUUCUCAAUAGGUCCUUGUAUCUCUCCCAUGCAUUAUAGAGUGUCCUAGAUCCAUCUACACAGAAAGAAGAGAUAUCAUUCCUUAACUU
Non-coding RNA from Gossypium hirsutum (cotton), 107 nucleotides. The record is from Rfam. Lineage: Eukaryota; Viridiplantae; Streptophyta; Magnoliopsida; Malvales; Malvaceae.